This 201-nucleotide long non-coding RNA is filed under the name Brassica napus (rape). RNAcentral describes it as "long non-coding RNA (BNAP_LNC010423)". Lineage: Eukaryota; Viridiplantae; Streptophyta; Magnoliopsida; Brassicales; Brassicaceae. The record is from RNAcentral.
GGGGGGGUUAUUUGGACAAAAAAUUGUGUGGAAUUUGAGAAUUUUUAAAGUUCAGAGAUUUUAAAAGUUGAGUAGAUUUAACAAAUAUUUUAUCAACUAUUUUGUAUGAAUUUCUGUUGAUUGUUAUAGAAUUUUAUAGAUUUGCAUACAUAUUUUUUUCAUAAGAAAUCUCCUCUUAAGAUAAUAUAUACAAGUCUUUUU